GAUACUUGGUGUGAAUUGCAGAAUCCCGUGAACCAUCGAGUCUUUGAACGCAAGUUGCGCCCCAAGCCUUUAGGCCGAGGGCACGCCUGCCUGGGUGUCACGC
RNAcentral lists this ribosomal RNA (103 nucleotides) under Protium surinamense. Its description in RNAcentral is "Tetragastris hostmannii partial 5.8S ribosomal RNA". It matches the Rfam family "5.8S ribosomal RNA", at positions 57 to 154 of the family's 154-position model. Rfam says of the family: 5.8S ribosomal RNA (5.8S rRNA) is a component of the large subunit of the eukaryotic ribosome. It is transcribed by RNA polymerase I as part of the 45S precursor that also contains 18S and 28S rRNA. Lineage: Eukaryota; Viridiplantae; Streptophyta; Magnoliopsida; Sapindales; Burseraceae. The record is from RNAcentral.